Molecule: long non-coding RNA, 936 nt
Filed under: Homo sapiens (human)
Lineage: Eukaryota; Metazoa; Chordata; Mammalia; Primates; Hominidae
Description: HSALNT0139024
Source: RNAcentral
GAGUGGCUACAUCACAGAGCCUCUGACCCUGAGAUCCAGGAACAGUAGAAAACCCCAGGCAGAGCUGAAGACAGUGACAGAAGGGAUUAUUGCUUCUGAAGAAGAAAAAAAAUGAUUACAAGAUCUCGGCUCACUGCAACCUCUGCCUCCUGGGUUCAAGCGAUUCUCCUGCCUUAGCCGUGAUGUUCAGUUUCUAAUACUGAUCACCUAUUUUACCGUCUUUUACAACUUCGUUGUAGGAGGUGUGAAAGAGGAGGGAAAUUGUGUUGGAAGAGGAGAUUAGGACAUCAAGAGACACCAAGAGUAACCAUGUACAGAGAAAAACAUCAUAUGAAGACACAGCAAGAAGGUGGCCAUCUGUAAGCCAAUUGAUGGAGAGACUCAAAUUAACAAAGAACUGUGGAAUAUUUCUAGCCAAAAGCCACUGGGGAACUGAUUCCUGCCAACAACCACUGAACUUCGAAGUAGAUCCAUCAGCAACUGGACCCUCAGAUGCGACCCAUGUAUGACACCUUGAUUGGGAUCCUGUGAGAGACCCUCAGGCAGAGCACCUAGUUAAGUCAAACUCAGAUCGCUGACUCCCAGAAACUGUAAGGACUCUCCUGCAUACCUGUCACCAAACCUCCAGGUCAAUCUCACAUUUACUCUUGAAGAAAUGGAGUCGAAGAUGAAAUAGAAAAUAAUUAGGUAAUGAAAUGCUAAUAUAGGAAUUGAAUGUCAGCUGCAGUGCUCAGAAGCAUAAGGUUGUGAUAAAUGUUUUGGAGGAAAAUAGAAAGAAGGCUGUGGUUUGAAACGUCUCAACAAACUUCCAAUCAUGCAAAACUUGAGGGAACGAGGAACAGCAAAGCUUGGCACUUUGGAAGCUUGAUAACAUCACAGCAUGGAAGAAAAGUGGAAGGAAGGAAAAGAAAGAAAGAAAGAAGGAAGGAAGGAAGG